AGAAGCCAUGGGUGAGACAACACAGAACUGAAUUUCAGUGACAUUUUUGGCAGCAAACAUUCCCAAAGAAGGAGCAGCGAGAAAGAAACCUCAGGAUGGGAAUUAAGAUAAGGAGCCGAGACCUGUAGGAAGUGCGGGAGUCAUCCACACAAAUGCCUGAGGAGAGGCAAAGGGAAACAGAGGAGCUAUGCACUUGUUGGAAACC
Molecule: long non-coding RNA, 205 nt
Filed under: Ictidomys tridecemlineatus (thirteen-lined ground squirrel)
Lineage: Eukaryota; Metazoa; Chordata; Mammalia; Rodentia; Sciuridae
Description: lncRNA (ENSSTOG00000029285.1)
Source: RNAcentral